This 253-nucleotide ribosomal RNA is filed under the name uncultured bacterium. Its description in RNAcentral is "partial 16S ribosomal RNA". It matches the Rfam family "Bacterial small subunit ribosomal RNA", at positions 524 to 776 of the family's 1533-position model. The record is from RNAcentral.
UACGUAGGGCGCAAGCGUUGUCCGGAAUUAUUGGGCGUAAAGAGCUCGUAGGUGGCUUGUCACGUCGGGUGUGAAAGCUUGGGGCUUAACUCCAGGUCUGCAUUCGAUACGGGCUGGCUAGAGGUAGGUAGGGGAGAACGGAAUUCCUGGUGUAGCGGUGAAAUGCGCAGAUAUCAGGAGGAACACCGGUGGCGAAGGCGGUUCUCUGGGCCUUACCUGACGCUGAGACGCGAAAGCGUGGGGAGCGAACAGG